RNAcentral lists this non-coding RNA (25 nucleotides) under Mus musculus (house mouse). The record is from RNAcentral. Lineage: Eukaryota; Metazoa; Chordata; Mammalia; Rodentia; Muridae.
UACUCUCUAGGGAUUUUAAUGGUCC